RNAcentral lists this ribosomal RNA (421 nucleotides) under uncultured Mycoplasma sp. RNAcentral describes it as "bacterial SSU rRNA". It matches the Rfam family "Bacterial small subunit ribosomal RNA", at positions 8 to 432 of the family's 1533-position model. Lineage: Bacteria; Bacillati; Mycoplasmatota; Mollicutes; Mycoplasmatales; Mycoplasmataceae. The record is from RNAcentral.
AGAGUUUGUCCUGGCUCAGGAUGAACGCUGGCUGUGUGCCUAAUACAUNCAUGUCGUGCGAAACACUUGUGUUUAGCGGCGAAUGGGUGAGUAACACGUACUUAACCUACCCUCAAGUUUGGGACAACAGUUGGAAACGACUGCUAAUACCGAAUAUUCUAUUUUAUCGCAUGAUAUUAUAGUGAAAGGUCCGUUUGGACCGCUCGAGGAUGGGAGUGCGUUACAUUAGUUAGUUGGUAGGGUAAUGGCCUACCAAGACGAUGAUGUAUAGCGGGGUUGAGAAGCUGAUCCGCCACACUGGGACUGANAUACGGCCCAGACUCCUACGGGAGGCAGCAGUAGGGAAUUUUCCACAAUGAGCGAAAGCUUGAUGGAGCCACACAUGCGUGCAAGGAUGAAAGGUCUUCGGGAUCGUAACNGG